AUUGAACGCUGGCGGAAUGCUUUACACAUGCAAGUCGAACGGCAGCACGGACUUCGGUCUGGUGGCGAGUGGCGAACGGGUGAGUAAUAUAUCGGAACGUGCCCAGUCGUGGGGGAUAACGUAGUGAAAAUUACGCUAAUACCGCAUACGAUCUACGGAUGAAAGCGGGGGAUCGCAAGACCUCGCGCGAUUGGAGGGGCCGAUAUCAGAAUAGGUAGUUGGUGGGGUAAAGGCUCCACAAGCCAACGAUCUGCAGCUGGUCUGAGCGGACGACCAGCCAAACUGGAACUAAGACACGGCCCAGACUCCUACGGGAGGCAGCAGUGGCGAACUUUGGACAAGGGACGCAAGUCUGAUCCAGCCAUUCCGCGUGCAGGACGAAGGCCUUCGGGUUGUAAACUGCUUUUGUACAGAACGAAAAGGUUUCUAUUAAUACUAGGGGCUCAUGACGGUACUGUAAGAAUAAGCACCGGCUAACUACGUGCCAGCAGCCGCAGUAA
RNAcentral lists this ribosomal RNA (500 nucleotides) under uncultured bacterium. RNAcentral describes it as "partial 16S ribosomal RNA". It matches the Rfam family "Bacterial small subunit ribosomal RNA", at positions 30 to 523 of the family's 1533-position model. The record is from RNAcentral.